This 751-nucleotide ribosomal RNA is filed under the name uncultured beta proteobacterium. RNAcentral's name for it is "bacterial SSU rRNA". It matches the Rfam family "Bacterial small subunit ribosomal RNA", at positions 28 to 776 of the family's 1533-position model. Lineage: Bacteria; Pseudomonadati; Pseudomonadota; Betaproteobacteria. The record is from RNAcentral.
AUUGAACGCUGGCGGCAUGCUUUACACAUGCAAGUCGAACGGUAACAGGUCUUCGGAUGCUGACGAGUGGCGAACGGGUGAGUAAUACAUCGGAACGUGCCUAGUAGUGGGAGAUAACUACUCGAAAGAGUAGCUAAUACCGCAUGAGAUCUACGGAUGAAAGCAGGGGACCUUCGGGCCUUGUGCUACUAGAGCGGCUGAUGGCAGAUUAGGUAGUUGGUGGGGUAAAGGCUUACCAAGCCUGCGAUCUGUAGCUGGUCUGAGAGGGCGACCAGCCACACUGGGACUGAGACACGGCCCAGACUCCUACGGGAGGCAGCAGUGGGGAAUUUUGGACAAUGGGCGAAAGCCUGAUCCAGCAAUGCCGCGUGCAGGAUGAAGGCCCUCGGGUUGUAAACUGCUUUUGUACGGAACGAAAAGCCUGGGGCUAAUAUCCCCGGGUCAUGACGGUACCGUAAGAAUAAGCACCGGCUAACUACGUGCCAGCAGCCGCGGUAAUACGUAGGGUGCAAGCGUUAAUCGGAAUUACUGGGCGUAAAGCGUGCGCAGGCGGUUUUGUAAGACAGUGGUGAAAUCCCCGGGCUCAACCUGGGAACUGCCAUUGUGACUGCAAGGCUAGAGUGCGGCAGAGGGGGAUGGAAUUCCGCGUGUAGCAGUGAAAUGCGUAGAUAUGCGGAGGAACACCGAUGGCGAAGGCAAUCCCCUGGGCCUGCACUGACGCUCAUGCACGAAAGCGUGGGGAGCAAACAGG